RNAcentral lists this transfer RNA (73 nucleotides) under Caudoviricetes sp. RNAcentral describes it as "tRNA-Lys". It matches the Rfam family "tRNA". Rfam says of the family: Transfer RNA (tRNA) molecules are approximately 80 nucleotides in length. Lineage: Duplodnaviria; Heunggongvirae; Uroviricota; Caudoviricetes. The record is from RNAcentral.
UGGAAAGUAGCUCAGUUGGUAGAGUGGUAGAUUUUUAAUCUAUAUGUCCCGGGUUCGAUUCCUGGCUUUCCAA